This 224-nucleotide long non-coding RNA is filed under the name Lathyrus oleraceus (garden pea). RNAcentral describes it as "Pisum sativum (pea) long non-coding RNA (PSAT_LNC021164)". Lineage: Eukaryota; Viridiplantae; Streptophyta; Magnoliopsida; Fabales; Fabaceae. The record is from RNAcentral.
UACAUGUUAGUUUUUGUUUCGGUAAUAAUCCAACAGAUAACUACCAAUGCAACUUUUCAGUAUAAUAUUUAGAAAAGACAUCUGAAUUGAUAAUUAAAGAACAUCGAUGAAGCAGGUGAUAAUACGCAGAUACGCCAAUUUGAUUACAGACAAACAUCCACAGUUCGAUUGAUUUGAAUGCUUGAUUUUAACAUGAAUAUAUUCUGAACUUUUCUCCAUGUGAA